AGUGAACGCUGGCGGUAGGCCUAACACAUGCAAGUCGAACGGCAGCACAGUAAGAGCUUGCUCUUACGGGUGGCGAGUGGCGGACGGGUGAGGAAUACAUCGGAAUCUACUUUUUCGUGGGGGAUAACGUAGGGAAACUUACGCUAAUACCGCAUACGACCUACGGGUGAAAGCAGGGGAUCUUCGGACCUUGCGCGAUUGAAUGAGCCGAUGUCGGAUUAGCUAGUUGGCGGGGUAAAGGCCCACCAAGGCGACGAUCCGUAGCUGGUCUGAGAGGAUGAUCAGCCACACUGGAACUGAGACACGGUCAGACUCCUACGGGAGGCAGCAGUGGGGAAUAUUGGACAAUGGGCGCAAGCCUGAUCCAGCCAUACCGCGUGGGUGAAGAAGGCCUUCGGGUUGUAAAGCCCUUUUGUUGGGAAAGAAAAGCAGCAGGUUAAUACCCCGCUGUUCUGACGGUACCCAAAGAAUAAGCGCCGGCUAACUUCGUG
This 491-nucleotide ribosomal RNA is filed under the name uncultured bacterium. Its description in RNAcentral is "partial 16S ribosomal RNA". It matches the Rfam family "Bacterial small subunit ribosomal RNA", at positions 29 to 507 of the family's 1533-position model. The record is from RNAcentral.